This 371-nucleotide ribosomal RNA is filed under the name uncultured organism. RNAcentral's name for it is "bacterial SSU rRNA". It matches the Rfam family "Bacterial small subunit ribosomal RNA", at positions 526 to 896 of the family's 1533-position model. The record is from RNAcentral.
CGGAGAGUGCGAACGUUGUUCGGAUUCACUGGGCGUAAAGGGCACGUAGGCGGCUUGGCAAAUCGGUCGUGGAAUCCCGACGCUUACCGUCGGAACGGCGGCCGAAAAUACCGAGCUCGAGGGCGUGAGGGGGUCACUGGAACUCCUGGUGAAGCGGUGAAAUGCGUAGAUAUCAGGAGGAACGCCGGAGGCGAAAGCGAGUGACUGGCGCGUUCCUGACGCUGAGGUGCGAAAGCUAGGGGAGCAAACAGGAUUAGAUACCCUGGUAGUCCUAGCCGUAAACGAUGGACACUGAGUGGGGGAGGGCUUGCCUUUCCCUGCUGCAGCUAACGCGUUAAGUGUCCCGCCUGGGGAGUACGGCCGCAAGGUUA